CGGAACCCCCGCCACUGCCGCCGCAGUCUGACAGAAGAGCGAGCGAGGUUGUUUACUAGGGUCAGAUGAAGACACUGAAAAACGUAUAAAGCUAAGAGCAACAAAUGGCAGCCUGUUUACUGGCCGGAGAAAUGCUGCCAAACUGGCGUGGGAGACAAUUGUUAAUGAUGCUGGAUGGAAAGGUGACGGAUGCCCUGGCUUCCAAAAAAUUGGGAAAUUUAAAGAAAAAAUAUAAGGAGCUCCGGAACCCACCAACUGGCACUGGAACAGACCAGGGGGAACCCAGUGCCUGCACGUGGAAGUGGUUUAGUUUAAUGCAUUCCACUAUUGGAGCAAGGGCCAGCAUUACUCCCCCUGUUUUCAUUUCAUCUGCUUUGGCAACCCCACCAAAUUAAUCUAACCAGCCAGUGCCAUCCUCUUACAUACCAGAUCCACCUUCACCUGUGGCCCCAGAAUCCCCAACCCACACAUAGCCAUCAACAGCAGCCAUCAUUACUAGUAGCCAACCCCACCCACAGCCAUCAUCAUCAUCAGCCUCUGUCACAUCAGCCACCGCUCUCUCGCCUGCCUCCCCGUCUGCUUCCUCUGGCAACAGCCCCAAAACCCCCACACCAAAAAGACGAAGGAAAGACCCUUUCAGCAUCUGCCAUCUCAGACUGACCGCCUCCUAGACAUACUGGAGAGGCUGGCUGACCGUUCUAAGCACUAGCAAUGCAAUACUAAAAAAGUAACAAGAAUUGUUCCCGUUAUACAGUAUCUGCAUAAUAUUUCGUUUUUAUUCAUUGAUUUGUUGCCAUAUUUUCAUUAAAGGAGAUUUAAGAUGUGUUCUUAAGAUGUGCAAGAAUUACAGUUCUUAUUGACAAGAGAAAAAAGUAAUUAAGUGCAUUAUUUCAGUUUAAUAUGGCACAUUUACAUUGUGACUUUACAUACUUUGCAUGUUUUCUUGACUAAGCAAAAAAAUAAAUGACAAGAAAUAGUUUGAAUUCAUUUCACUGUUUACACUGCAAAGUUCUUCAAUAAAAA
This is a long non-coding RNA of Sinocyclocheilus rhinocerous, 1023 nucleotides long. RefSeq lists it as uncharacterized. Lineage: Eukaryota; Metazoa; Chordata; Actinopteri; Cypriniformes; Cyprinidae. The transcript has 4 exons. The record is from RefSeq and is a predicted model, not a curated record.